GUUCGGGUGGCAGAGCCCGGUAGAAUGCAAAAGGCCUAAGAUCUUUCCACGGAGGUUCAAUUCCUCCCCCCUACU
Molecule: transfer RNA, 75 nt
Filed under: Pomatomus saltator
Lineage: Eukaryota; Metazoa; Chordata; Actinopteri; Scombriformes; Pomatomidae
Description: tRNA-Leu
Rfam family: tRNA
About the family: Transfer RNA (tRNA) molecules are approximately 80 nucleotides in length.
Source: RNAcentral